GACGAACGCUGGCGGCGUGCUUAACACAUGCAAGUCGAACGGAAAGGCCCUGCUUUUGUGGGGUGCUCGAGUGGCGAACGGGUGAGUAACACGUGAGUAACCUGCCCUUGACUUUGGGAUAACUUCAGGAAACUGGGGCUAAUACCGGAUAGGAGCUCCUGCUGCAUGGUGGGGGUUGGAAAGUUUCGGCGGUUGGGGAUGGACUCGCGGCUUAUCAGCUUGUUGGUGGGGUAGUGGCUUACCAAGGCUUUGACGGGUAGCCGGCCUGAGAGGGUGACCGGCGUAGUGGGGACGGAGGGAGGGCCGGGAGUCCGACGGGGGGCGGCAGGGGGGGAGGGGGCACAAGGGGCGGAGGCCGGAUGCAGCAACGCCGAGGGAGGGAGGACGGCCGACGGGGUGGAAACCGCUUGCGCCGGUGACGAAGCGGGAGGGACGGGAAGGGGGAAAGAAGCACCGACGAACUACGGG
RNAcentral lists this ribosomal RNA (468 nucleotides) under uncultured bacterium. RNAcentral's name for it is "partial 16S ribosomal RNA". It matches the Rfam family "Bacterial small subunit ribosomal RNA", at positions 28 to 507 of the family's 1533-position model. The record is from RNAcentral.